UGGUGAACCUGCGGAAGGAUCAUUACAGAGUUCAUGCCCUUAUGGGUAGAUCUCCCACCCUUGAAAUAUCUACCUUUGUUGCUUUGGCAGGCCGUGGCCUCCGCUACCGGCUUCGGCUGGUGAGUGCCUGCCAGAGGACCCAACUCUUGUUUAUAGUGAUGUCUGAGUACUAUAUAAAUAGUUAAAACUUUCAACAACGGAUCUCUUGGUUCUGGCAUCGAUGAAGAACGCAGCGAAAUGCGAUAAGUAAUGUGAAUUGCAGAAUUUAGUGAAUCAUCGAAUCUUUGAACGCACAUUGCGCCCCUUGGUAUUCCGAGGGGCAUGCCUGUUCGAGCGUCAUAUCACCAAUCAAGCCUGGCUUGGUAUUGGGGCCCGCUGUAUAGCGGCCUCUAAACUCAGUGGCGGUGCCGUUAGGCUCUCAGCGUAGUAAUUAUUCUCGCUACAGGGUCUUACGGUUACUUGCCAUAACCCCAACUUCUUAAGGUUGACCUCGGAUCAGGUAGGGAUACCCGCUGAACUUAAGCAUAUCAAUAAGCGGAGGA
RNAcentral lists this ribosomal RNA (542 nucleotides) under uncultured fungus. RNAcentral describes it as "eukaryotic LSU rRNA". The stretch from base 186 to 339 matches the Rfam family "5.8S ribosomal RNA". Lineage: Eukaryota; Fungi. RNAcentral also lists the same sequence under 1 other name. The record is from RNAcentral.